GCCCGGCUAGCUCAAUCGGUAGAGCGUCAGACUCUUAAUCUGAAGGCUGUGGGUUCGACCCCCACGUCGGGCU
Molecule: non-coding RNA, 73 nt
Organism: Delitschia confertaspora ATCC 74209
Lineage: Eukaryota; Fungi; Ascomycota; Dothideomycetes; Pleosporales; Delitschiaceae
Source: the annotation of a GenBank genome assembly